Athalia rosae (coleseed sawfly) is the source of this 499-nucleotide long non-coding RNA. RefSeq lists it as uncharacterized. NCBI's taxonomy places the organism in Eukaryota, Metazoa, Arthropoda, Insecta, Hymenoptera, Athaliidae. The record is from RefSeq and is a predicted model, not a curated record. The transcript is spliced from 2 exons.
CGUCGUCGUUCGGAAGAUGAGGAGUUCCAAUUUGUCGACGCGAGACUCUCGCCGCGGAGGUUCGCGAGUUUCGAAGAAAUCCGGCGAACGGGAAUCAUCUGUGGGAAAAGUAAUCGCCCUCCACGCUUUUGGAUAGGGGAUCAAGUGGACGCCUACCCGUUGUAAAAUAUCAGCUUCAUUCCCGCCAGGACUUCGGAGGACGCCUCCUUGGCUGCGACGUAUGAAAAAAAAAAUGGAAAGAAUUUCAAAAUUAUCAUUGUUCCUAAAUUCAUAAGUUCGUUGAUCUUUUCUUGAUUUUUUUUUUUUUUUAUACCUGUAGCGGUUCGAACGAAUGAUCAAUCAAAUUAUUAUUAUUAUUAUUAUUAUUAUUAUUAUUAUUAUACCAAUUACAAUAUUAAAUCUGUAACGAUUAUAAUGUAAUGCAAUGUAAAGAUCGAAAGGAGCUUUUAUUGACUCUGCGAUCUAGAAAGGAAUGAACAAAUAAAUGACGAUUAAACGA